GACAGCAAGUUCCAAUGCAAACAGCUAACGACCUACAAGCAUGCAAACAAGUGUGUUAGACAACGCUGAUAGUAAUCCUCAGAAGAAUUCCAGGAUCAGGAUCACGGACUAUCAUAAGGAUCCUCAUGCUAACAGUUGUUUUCCUUGGAUUUAAUGUUAUCUUGCAGGAAUGACUAGCAGGAUCCGCUCUUAGCAACGUAAACAAGGGACGCGUCUUUACAACUUUGGCAUACGCUUAAUCAGAGAUGAACGUUGUAAAGGAUAUGGAAACUCAGCAUGAUUUAAGGGCGAUAAUUUAGGCUAGAUUUACUUUUAUUCCUAAAGGGGUAAUGAGCUGAUAGUUAGUCUAUUUACCUAAAAUAGGGCCACUCACACUUGUAUAUAUAGCACUCUCCCACAUUCGGAAGACACACAACACAUUUCUCACACGCUUAGACACACGAUACUAUAGUGAUCCUUGUACUCAGCUCAUUACC
Molecule: long non-coding RNA, 476 nt
Filed under: Helianthus annuus (common sunflower)
Lineage: Eukaryota; Viridiplantae; Streptophyta; Magnoliopsida; Asterales; Asteraceae
Source: RNAcentral